Molecule: ribosomal RNA, 301 nt
Filed under: uncultured bacterium
Lineage: Bacteria
Description: partial 16S ribosomal RNA
Rfam family: Bacterial small subunit ribosomal RNA
Source: RNAcentral
CAGUAGCCACGGUAAUACGUAGGUGGCAAGCGUUGUCCGGAUUUAUUGGGCGUAAAGCGAGCGCAGGCAGUCAAUUAAGUCUGAUGUGAAAGCCCCCGGCUCAACCGGGGAGGGUCAUUGGAAACUGGUUGACUUGAGUGCAGAAGAGGAGAGUGGAAUUCCAUGUGUAGCGGUGAAAUGCGUAGAUAUAUGGAGGAACACCGGUGGCGAAAGCGGCUCUCUGGUCUGUCACUGACGCUGAGGCUCGAAAGCGUGGGUAGCGAACAGGAUUAGAUACCCCCGUAGUCCCUGUCUCUUAUAC